GAGGAGCUUGCUCCUUGGGUGGCGAGUGGCGGACGGGUGAGGAAUACAUCGGAAUCUACUUUUUCGUGGGGGAUAACGUAGGGAAACUUACGCUAAUACCGCAUACGACCUACGGGUGAAAGCAGGGGACCUUCGGGCCUUGCGCGAUUGAAUGAACCGAUGUCGGAUUAGCUAGUUGGCGGGGUAAAGGCCCACCAAGGCGACGAUCCGUAGCUGGUCUGAAAGGAUGAUCAGCCACACUGGAACUGAGACACGGUCCACACUCCUACGGGAGGCAGCAGUGGGGAAUAUUGGACAAUGGGCGCAAGCCUGAUCCAGCCAUACCGCGUGGGUGAAGAAGGCCUUCGGGUUGUAAAGCCCUUUUGUUGGGAAAGAAAUCCAGCCGGCUAAUACCUGGUUGGGAUGACGGUACCCAAAGAAUAACCACCGGCUAACUUCGUGCCACCAGCCGCGGUAAUACGAAGGGUGCAAGCGUUACUCGUAAUUACUGGGCGUAAAGCGUGCGUAGGUGGUUGUUUAAGUCUGUUGUGAAAGCCCUGGGCUCAGCCUGGGAACUGCAGUGGAAACUGGACAACUAGAGUGUGGUAGAGGGUAACGGAAUUCCCGGUGUAUCAGUGAAAUGCGUAUAGAUCGGGAGGAACAUCCAUGGCGAAGGCACCUACCUGGACCAACACUGACACUGAGGCACGAAAGCGU
This 696-nucleotide ribosomal RNA is filed under the name Stenotrophomonas maltophilia. RNAcentral describes it as "bacterial SSU rRNA". It matches the Rfam family "Bacterial small subunit ribosomal RNA", at positions 73 to 762 of the family's 1533-position model. The record is from RNAcentral. Lineage: Bacteria; Pseudomonadati; Pseudomonadota; Gammaproteobacteria; Lysobacterales; Lysobacteraceae.